Small nuclear RNA from Eptesicus fuscus (big brown bat), 104 nucleotides. NCBI's taxonomy places the organism in Eukaryota, Metazoa, Chordata, Mammalia, Chiroptera, Vespertilionidae. The record is from RefSeq and is a predicted model, not a curated record.
GUGCUGGCUUCGGCAGCACACAUACUAAAAUUGGAACAAUAGAGAAGAUUAGCAUGGCCCCUGCGCAAGAUGACACACAUACUCAUGAAGUGUUCCAUAUUAAA